RNAcentral lists this ribosomal RNA (461 nucleotides) under uncultured bacterium. RNAcentral's name for it is "partial 16S ribosomal RNA". It matches the Rfam family "Bacterial small subunit ribosomal RNA", at positions 338 to 795 of the family's 1533-position model. The record is from RNAcentral.
ACUACGGGAGGCAGCAGUGAGGAAUAUUGGUCAAUGGGCGUAAGCCUGAACCAGCCAAGUCGCGUGAGGGAUGAAGGUUCUAUGGAUCGUCAACCUCUUUUAUAAGGGAAUAAAGUGCGGGACGUGUCCCGUUUUGUAUGUACCUUAUGAAUAAGUAUCGGCUAACUCCGUGCCAGCAGCCGCGGUAAUACGGAGGAUCCAAGCGUUAUCCGGAUUUAUUGGGUUUAAAGGGUGCGUAGGCUGUGAGGUAAGUCAGCUGGGAAAUGCCCCCGCUCAACGGGGUGAAGUGCCAUUGAUACUGCCUGGCUGGAAUGCGGAUGCCGUGGGAGGAAUGUGUGGGGGAGCGGUGAAAUGCAUAGAUAUCACACAGAACACAGAUCGCGAAGGCAUCUCACGAAUCCGCGAUUGACGCUGAUGCACGAAAGCGUGGGUAUCAAACAGGAUUAGAUACCCUUGUAGUC